UCGCUUGUUGGUGAGGUAAUGGCUCACCAAGGCGACGACGGGUAGCCGGCCUGAGAGGGCGACCGGCCACACUGGGACUGAGACACGGCCCAGACUCCUACGGGAGGCAGCAGUGGGGAAUAUUGCACAAUGGGCGAAAGCCUGAUGCAGCGACGCCGCGUGAGGGAUGACGGCCUUCGGGUUGUAAACCUCUUUCAGCAGGGAAGAAGCGAAAGUGACGGUACCUGCAGAAGAAGCGCCGGCUAACUACGUGCCAGCAGCCGCGGUAAUACGUAGGGCGCGAGCGUUGUCCGGAAUUAUUGGGCGUAAAGAGCUCGUAGGCGGCUUGUCGCGUCGGUUGUGAAAGCCCGGGGCUUAACCCCGGGUCUGCAGUCGAUACGGGCAGGCUAGAGUUCGGUAGGGGAGAUCGGAAUUCCUGGUGUAGCGGUGAAAUGCGCAGAUAUCAGGAGGAACACCGGUGGCGAAGGCGGAUCUCUGGGCCGAUACUGACGCUGAGGAGCGAAAGCGUGGGGAGCGAACAGGAUUAGAUACCCUGGUAGUCCACGCCGUAAACGGUGGGCACUAAGUUGUGGGCGACAUUCACCGUCGUCCGUGCCGCA
RNAcentral lists this ribosomal RNA (599 nucleotides) under uncultured Actinomycetes bacterium. RNAcentral's name for it is "bacterial SSU rRNA". It matches the Rfam family "Bacterial small subunit ribosomal RNA", at positions 242 to 850 of the family's 1533-position model. Lineage: Bacteria; Bacillati; Actinomycetota; Actinomycetes. The record is from RNAcentral.